RNAcentral lists this long non-coding RNA (10591 nucleotides) under Malus domestica (apple). RNAcentral describes it as "long non-coding RNA (MDOM_LNC005382)". Lineage: Eukaryota; Viridiplantae; Streptophyta; Magnoliopsida; Rosales; Rosaceae. The record is from RNAcentral.
GGCAGGACCAGCAGCACCAGUGGGUUUCACUUUGGUCGGCACCAUUGGAUGCCUGUGACAGCUAUGGCAAGUGUGGUCAAUUUGGCAAUUGCAAUCCUUACACCAACAGUGGGUUCAACUGCACAUGCUACCCCGGAUAUGAACCAACCUCACCGCAGGAUUGGGAUUUAAGAGAUGGGACAGAUGGGUGCAAGAGGCCGCAGGACUCGCUGUCCAUGUGCAGGAACGGCGAGGGUUUUGUGAAGAUGAAAAAUGUAAAGGUUCAGACACGUCCUCUAUAAAAUUGGAGAAUAAUUUGAGCAUAGUAGCGUGCGAGGAGGAGUGCUUGAAGAACUGCUCGUGCUUGGCAUACGCGAGUGCAGAUGUGAGGAAUGGAGGGACUGGAUGCAUGACAUGGUAUAGAGAUUUGAUGGAUACUAAGCAGUUCACAGAAGGCGGGCAAGAUUUGUACAUUCGCGUUGAUGCAGUUGUUUUAGGUACCUUAUUUUCCUACAGAUUGCGUCAAUUACAUGUUUCAACUUCAUACCAUUCAUAGCACUGGUGAAUUGACCUUUUUUUUCAUAUUUUCAGCUCAGUAUAAAAACAAGUCAGGAGGAGGGUAUUUUUCCGGGAGAAGGCGACUGGCUAUUAUAUUGGUAGUGUCAAUUUCUGUCCCCUCAUUGCUCAUCCUCGCAGUUCUAUGCUGGUUCGGGAAAAGGAGCAGGAAAGGUAUGCGAAAAGGAAAAGUUUCCCCUUCUGUCGUCUUGUAAAUUUGUUUGCAGCUUUAUUUCAGCUCAAAUUUCAUUUUCUUUGUGAAAUUUUUUUAUACCCUGAAAUUUCAAUGGAAUUGAGACAGGGAGAGGAGGAGAACCCAGAUUUUCUGAACGAUCCCGCUGCUUCUGGUGUACGAAGCUAUGAAGAUUUGCCAAUAAAAAAUGAGGUUGAUGAACACAGAGGAGACACAGAUUUACCUUUUUUCGAUUUAACCACUGUGGUUGCAGCCACAGAAAACUUCUCUUCUGCUAACAAGCUUGGACACGGCGGCUUCGGCACGGUAUAUAAGGUACUUUCCCUAGAACAUUUUGAGUGUCUCAGCAUUUUGUGGCUUCAAAAUAAAAUGUGAAAUACGCUUCCGUGUACUUUGUUUACUCUGCUGCAAAUAUAUCAAUACAUAAGCUCUGUGAUAUUGAGGCAGAUAAGACAGAAUUGGAUAUAAACAUUAUAUCGAUCUGAAGUUGUCAUUAAGAUUGUCGAGUCUUCACUGUGAUUUCAGGGAUGUCUAGCUGAUGGACAGGACAUAGCUGUCAAAAGAUUAUCGAGAAAUUCAGGACAAGGCGUAGAUGAAUUCAAGAACGAAGUAAUGCUUAUAGCAAAGCUUCAGCAUAGAAAUCUUGUGAGGCUUUUGGGUUGGUGCAUACAUAAAGAAGAGAGGAUGCUAAUCUAUGAAUACAUGCCGAAUCGCAGCUUGGACUUAUGCAUUUUCGGUAUGCAAUCUAUGAAUACAUGCUGAAAUUAAGAAAUCCUAAACUUGUAGCUCAUAGAAGCUUUUAUGUGUUGUGUUCAGAUAAAAACAGAAAGUCGUUGUUAGAUUGGAGAAAAAGAUUUCAAAUUAUCAUUGGGAUUGCUCGAGGCGUCCUAUAUCUUCAUCAAGAUUCGAGACUAAAAAUAAUCCACAGGGAUUUGAAAGCAAGCAAUGUUUUACUGGAUGGUUCAAUGAACCCAAAAAUAUCAGAUUUUGGCAUGGCAAGAAUGUUCGGGGAUGACCAAAUUGAAGCAAACACGAAUAGAGUUGUUGGCACCUAGUAAUUCUCUCCUCUCACUUGAAAUAAAACUCUAGAGCUGAUAUUUUUUUUAGUACUGAUAAUGUGUGAUUGCAGCGGUUACAUGUCACCGGAGUAUGCUAUGGAUGGGCUAUAUUCCACAAAAUCCGAUGUGUUUAGCUUCGGAGUCUUGGCACUAGAGAUCAUUAGUGGCAGAAAGAACAGUUUCCAAUUCGAAAACACCUCUCUGAAUUUGGUUGGACUUGUAAGUAAACAAAUAAUUUUUUAGACGCUGAAUCUAACUCUCGCAUAGUCCAAUGAUCUAAACAUUGUGCUCACACUUUUUUCAGAUAUGGGACUUGUGGACAGAAGGAAAAGUCUUGGACAUAAUUGAUUCAUCACUGAACCAGUCGUAUUCGACUCAUGAAGUUAUGAGAUGCAUUCAGAUUGGGCUCUUGUGCGUGCAAGAAAAUGCAACAGACCGGCCAACCAUGCUAGAUGUUGUGUUCAUGCUGGGGAAUGAAACGAAUCUUCCACAUCCAAAAAAGGCAGCGUUUAGCUUCAAAACCGGCGGUCCAGAUUCUUCAAUGUCUAGAGGAGCUUCCUCUGUAAAUGAUAUAACAGUAACAGUUAUUGAAGCUCGUUGAGUUUGCACUUUUUAGGCUCUUGUAGAGAUUUUGCUUUACUCUAUAAAGUAUUUGUACUCAAAUCGAGAUUUCUUUGUACGUGAAGAUUUUAAAUUCAAAUUCAAAUCCCAGAAUCCAAACGAGGCCCAAAUGUUUAAAUUUUAGAUCAAACAUGAAGACGUGUGAGUAACAAAUUGAAAUUCUCAGUUGUAAACAAAAAUCUUGGCCGUGAUAGGUAGCGUGCGAAUUCCCCUUCUUAACAAAACAAGUUUUAGUUUUUAAUUUUUUUUAUUACAAAAAUAAGCUUGGAAUUUUGACAAAAGUUAGAACUUAUAAAUUGAUAUGCACCAAUUCAUUUAUUUUGGAUUCAUAAACAUAGAAAUUUUGAAUUUUCAUGUGAAAAAAAUUUGGAAUUUGGGACUCCAAGUGUUUUGAAUUCUAUGUAAAUGAAUGUCAUUUCUAAAUUUUUAUGAGUGGGAGUUUAAAAAUAAAAAAUUCCUAUUCAUAUUCGAUCAUUCUUGUAGUUUAACCAAACAAAAAAAAAAAUUCAAAUUCUUUACAAAUUCUAAAAAAUAAAAUUCCGUAAUUUUGAAAUUCCUUAAUAAUUUUAAAUUUCUUUGUCCAGUGUAAAGCUAAAUUGAAAUUCUCAGUUUUCGAUAACUAUGCUGGUAGCACACUAAUGACUUUUUUGUUAAAUUAUUAUUGAUACUAAAUUAUUGGAGACCACAUGCUAAUGACUUAGGUUAUAAAACAUUUCUUCUUCUUUCAACGAUGUCUUCUUAUGUGGACCCAAAAAAUGAUGUCCUCAUAUAUUAUAACACUUCAGACAAUAUACUGUAAUUUUAGGCCUAAUCGGAUAAAUGGUCAUCGUGGUCAUAAGGUAUUCGGAUGAUAGCCCAUGUGGUAAAAAAAGUCGGAUUUAAACCCCUGUGGUAUAAAUCUGUUAGGAUUUAUGCCCUUAUGUUAAAUAAUGCUGACGUGGCUGCCACAUAUAUGCCACGUGGCUACCAAAUGUCUGCCACAUGGCAAAAAUAAUAAUUUUUAAUUUAAAAAAAAAAAACCUGAAUUUUUACAAAAAAAAAAAAAAAACCCAGAUCUACAAGAAGAACAAGAAGAAGAAGGAAAAGGGAGAGGGAGGAGGGUCGCGCGGGGAGAGGGCUCCGACGAGGGGGGAGUUGGUCUCCGGCGGGAAGAAGAAGAAGAAGAAGAAGGGAGGAGUCGCGCGGGGAGACCGGCGGGAAGAAGAAGAAGAAGGAAGAAGGAGAGGGAGGAGGGUCGCGCAGGGAGAGGGCUCUGGCGGGGGGGGGGGGAAUGGGCAGAGGGCGGGGGGAGCUUCUGGGUUUUUGUUUUUUUUUUUGGUUGUAAAAAUUCAGGUUUUAAAAAAAAAUUAAAAAUUAUUAUUUUUGCCACGUGGCAGACAUUUGGCAGCCACGUGACAUAUAUGUGGCAGCCACGUCAACAUUAUUUAACAGAAGAGCAUAAAUCCUAAUAGACUUAGAUCACAGGGCUUUAAAUCCUAACAGACUUAGACCACAGAGGUUUAAAUCCGAAUUUUUUUACCACAGGAGCUAUCAUCCGAAUACCUUAUGACCAGGGGAACCAUUUAUCCGAUUAGGCCGUAAUUUUAUGCUUAUCUACACUCUUAUUUUUUUAAUGAUUUUAAUAGUCACCUCGCAGCACUGAAGGCAAUUAUAUUACUUUAUUUUAAAGUAGGGGUGGUGCUGUGCAAUUUUGGGGCAGAUUUUAGUUUAUUUAUGAAAUUACCACUGAGUCUAUCUGCCCCCUGAUUUAACGUUAUUUGCAAAAUUGCCACUGGGCUUCAGAAUGGGUUUUGGGUCUUUGGGCAGAAUUUUCGGUUUUGCGAUCCACGCGUUGAUGAUCGCUGUGUAAGAUCGCCGAUUUGGUGAGGGGAUGGGACAAAAACGGAAAGCCAAACCUCCGCCACAAACGAAGUCACGAACGCCACUCUCACUCACCCUCCACCGUUGCACACGAACCCAAUCAUAAUUCUGAAAUCCAAACACGACCUAGAUGGUAAUCCUUCAGAGAAUGGCAAUGGCCACUUCUUCUUCCUUCCUCUCAGUCCCUCUCCUAAAGGCCUCUUCUUUGCUUUCCCCAGUUAAACACUGCGCUUCGCCACUGAGCUCCGAGUUCAGGGCUCUGUCCCUCUACGGCGGUAGAGAUGGAGUCUCUGUUGGAAUAUGAGUAUAAAAACAUGAUUGUGGAUUAGCUAUUAUAUUGAAUGAAUUUUGAAUGGAAAAGUCUUGAUAAAGUGUUUGUGUAAAUCCUAUUUCUUGUAGGAUUAUGAGUGGUUUUAGUGUUCCUUUGGGAAAAGGUUUUGGAUCCUUCUCGGAUUGAUCUUGUGCACUCAUUGUGCAAAAGGGUUUCUGUUUUAGAGUCCAACACUAAUUCUAAUAGGAGAAUGUGUUGGAUUAAUGCUGUAUAUAACCACAAUCACUGCUCUUGCAAAGAUACGGCUCAUAUUGUGUUGAAUACCUAUUGUUCAAAGAGCUCUCUAGUUUUGCUAAAGAGGAGAAGAUUGUCUGGUGGUGAAGCUGCUAUGGCUUCUUCGAGUUCAAGUUCUGCAGGUAUGUUUUGAUUGGUUUAAUGCUGAGAUUUAUGGUUAUGUUGUUCACAUUGUUUGUUGGUAGUAUUGGUGAUUUAUUGGCAUAUCUAUGAUCUGGCAUGUUAUUCUUACAUGUGGUAUCAGAGCCUGGACAGAUUAUUGCCAUUAAGUUCGAAAUUUUGUACAACAAUUUGGACAAGAAACCAUAAUCUUAAAACCCAGAAACGCAUAACCUGUUUUUGAGCAUAACAGUAAAAAACGACACCGUUUAAAAAAAAAAAAAAAAUUUAAAUUUAUACCGUUAUGAUCGCCGGGUUUGCGUCUUUUGCUUUGCCUUGCAUCUUUUCUUUUCAUGGUCUCUGGGUAUAUGGCGAUUCAAUGAAUGAUUCUUCUGAUUCUCUCUGAUUCUUCUCGUGUCAAUUUCAUUCAUUGAUUUCUCCAAACAGGUAUGUCUGCAAUCUUGAAACUUGAAUUUAGGUUAAAAAGCUUAUUUGAACUAGAGAACACCGUAUAUAUGCAAAUUUGUUAGCAUCUCGCCAAUUUGAAUCAAAAUUAUCUAAAUGGAUAAACUGAAGAAUUAUUUUAAUGUUUCCGCUGCUAAUUUGUUUGGGUUUAUUGAAUUUUUUGAUUUUCAAUGCAUGUGGUGUGAUAUUUGAAUAUCAUCCCUUUCGAGCAUGAUUCUUGAAUACAAUCUUCUGUGAGUUGUUUACUCUAUACAUGGUUGUCUUUAUUAAAGUUUGAGACCAUGUGUAUGACAAAAUUGACUCAUUAUGAGGAUUACAUAGUGAAAUAGAUGGAAAUCAUGAAUCCCGAAAAGAUUCAAUGUGAUGAUUUCAUUGUUAUCUUCUGCAGUUUCACUAAAAACAAUGAAUUUGGCUGCUGUACCUAUACUCACUGGUGGGAGCAAUUACAAAAAAUGGAGAAGGGAAAUGGAAUUGCUCUUGACAUUAAAUGAGUAUGAUAUAGCACUUGAUACACCACAACCUGCGCCUCUUACUGAUAAGAGUUCAAAGGCUGAGAAGGUUGAGUUCGAAAGAUGGACAAGAGCUAAUAAAGUGGCAUUAUCCAUUUUGGAGAGCGGGAUGACGGACACUGUUCGUGGAGGUAUCAAAAGGUGUGAUCUAGCAAAAGAUUAUUUCAAAGCUAUUGAGAGCAAAUUCAAGGAAUCACAAAAGGCUGAGAUUGCUCAGUAUAUGACCCUUCUCACAACUUACAAAUUUGAAGGUGGUGGUUCAGUCAGAGAUCACAUUAUGAGGAUGACCGAUGCGGCUGAGAAGCUUAAUUCAUUAGACAUGAACAUUUGUGAAAAGCAGCUAGUGUUCAUGAUUCUGCAAGCGCUUCCUUUGAAGUUCAGUCAAUUAAAAGUCUCUUACAACACUCAAGAUAAGUCAUGGACAGUGGAUGAACUGAUAUCUCAAUGUGUUCAAGAGGAAAAUCGACAGAAGCAAGACAAAGGAAAGGAAGCUGAGACCAUCAAUUUUGUGCAGACUUCUAAAAGGAGGGAUCUCAAUGCAAAUUCUGGUAAAUCUCCUCAAUUCAAACAUCCUGAUAAAUCUUUUGUGUCUGCUAAGAAUUCCCAUUCCUCUAAAUCUAAUAAUCUUAAAGUUAAAACUAAAAACAUUGAAAAGGUUAGGUGUCAUCAUUGCAAAACUAAAGGUCAUUAUAGAAAAGAUUGUGAAAUAUUCAAAGAAUGGCUUAGGGCUAAAGGUAGAGAACUAAUGUAUAUGUCUGUGAGGAAUCAAAUCUCAUUGAAAUUCCGGCAAAUUCCUGGUGGUUUGAUACUGGUGCAUCUGUGCAUAUAACCAAUUCACUGCAUGGUUUUGAAAAACAAAAACAAACAAAUGAUUAUAACGUUUUUGUUGGUGAAGGAACCAGAGUUGUAGUUGAAUCGAUAGGGAAAGUGAAACUAAAAUUGGCUUCUGAAUUUGUGUUGGAACUGUCCAAUGUUUUAUAUGUGCCUGCAAUGAGAAGAAGUUUAAUCUCUGCAUCUAAGUUAGUAGCUGAAGGUGUUAUUUUCAUAGGUGAUAAAGAAUGCAUCAAAUUUUUUUGUAGGGGAGCCUUGAUAGGAAAAGCAGUUUUGCAUGAUCAGUUAUGGAAAAUGCAGUGCACAUUGUUGGACAAUGAGUUAAGUGUUUUAAAUACGACUGCCAAAAGAAUGCAAAAUUUUGACAACUCUUAUAUGUUGUGGCAUAAAAGACUAGGACAUAUUUCGAAGGACAGGAUCAUGCAAUUAUCAAAAUUAAAUUUCAUACCUGCUUUAGAUUUUCAUAAUGCAUCUGAAUGCAUUGACUGUAUGAAGGGUAAAACCACCAACUUUAGGAAAAUGGAUGCCAAUAGAAGUAAAAAUUUGCUUGAGAUUAUACACACCGAUGUUUGUGGACCUUUUCCUAUCAAAACUAUUUGUGGAAAUUCAUACUUUGUGAGUUUUAUAGAUGAUUUCUCCAGACAUGGUUACAUAUUUCUAAUAAAAGAAAAGUCAGCAGUUCUUGAGUGUUUCAAAAUUUUUAAAUGUGAGGUAGAAAAACAACUAAACCUAGUGAUUAAGAUUGUUAGAUCAGAUAGAGGAGGGGAAUACUUUGGCAGGCACACAGAAGCAGGACAACAAAAGGGUCAUUUUGCACGGUUUCUUGAGCAGCAAGGUAUUGUGGCCCAGUAUACUACUCCGGGAACACCCCAACAGAAUGGAGUGGCUGAGAGAAGAAACCGAACCUUGAUGGGAAUGGUUAGAAGUCUCAUUUCAAGAUCUAAGCUGCCUGGUUUUCUGUGGGGAGAAGCAUUGAGGACAUCAAACUAUGUGUUGAACCGAGUGCCUACAAAAUCAGUGCCAAAAACACCUUUUGAGCUAUGGACUGGCAGAACACCAAGUUUUCAUCAUUUUCAUGUGUGGGGUUGCAAAGCAGAAGCUAGGUUUUACAACCCAAAUGAAAGGAAGCUCGAUUCUAGAACCAAUUCAUGCUACUUUGUGGGAUAUUCAGAGAAAUCGAAGGGUUUCAAGUUUUAUUGUCCUCGAGCACAGACAAGAAUUCAAGAGACUCACAAUGCAGUUUUCUUAGAAGACCAAGAUGUAUCAGACUUAGUGCAUGACACUUUUGAGUUUGAAGAAUCAGAACAACUCGUUGGCUCGGUUCCAAUGGCCUACAACCAUAUUUCAGUAUUGCCUAGAAAUCAGACAGAGGAAGAAGAUCUUGAUGAAGAGAUGACACAUGAAAUAGUUGCUGAAAUACAAAAUGAACAUGGAGAUACCUUUUCUACACGAAAUAUACCCCUAAGUGCUCCAAGUUCUCCCAUUGAGAAAGAUACAUGUCCAGUAAAUGAUCAAUUGAAUCUGAGGAAAUCAAGUAGAGCCAAGAAACCUGCAAUUUCAGCCGAUUAUGUCUAUCUCCAGGAGGCAGAAUUUGACAUAGGUGAUAUAGAUGAUCCAGCCACUUAUCAACAAGCAAUUCAAUGUUCUCAAGCUGCAUUAUGGAAGAAAGCAAUGAUGGAAGAGCUAGAUUCCAUGGCCAAGAACAAAGUAUGGACCCUUGUGAACUCCAAUUCAAAUGCUAAAACCAAUAGGUUGCAAGUGGGUCUACAAAACUAAAAGGGAUGCUGCUGCAGGGAGCAUAGAGAGAUACAAGGCUCGGUUAGUAGCCAAAGGCUUUACUCAGAGAGAAGGGAUUGAUUACAAUGACACGUUUUCACCUGUUUCUUCCAAAGAUUCUAUGAGGAUCAUCAUGGCUUUGACAUCUCAUUUUGAUCUGGAGCUACACCAGAUGGAUGUUAAAACCGCCUUUUUGAAUGGUGAUUUAGAGGAAGACAUAUACAUGGUCCAACCUCCUGGAUUUUCUGAAAGGGGGAAAGAUAAUAUGGUCUGCAAGCUAAACAAGUCAAUUUAUGGACUUAAACAAGCAUCUAGGCAGUGGUUCCUCAAAUUUGAUCAGGUAGUUACNCAAGUGUUCUGCUACACUUAAACCAUCCUUGUAUUCACAUGAUGAGCUCUUUGAUCAAGAAUGCUUUUUAGCUGGAGUUUUCUUCUCGAACAAGGACAAGCUUGCCAAAACUCGCGCAUUGGCAUUGACACAUGGUGAAACACUAUCGUCCACCCAUUGUCUAAUUGUACCAAUAGCCUUACGAUUCAUUUUCCACCGGCACGAACAUGCUCUCGGGCUGGCGGCAUCUCCUUCAAUUGGCUCAUGCAGAUCCUUGCAAUAAAGAGGCCUUCAUCCUUGGCUUUCAUGUUACCCAAUUGGAGUUGGUGAGUUUGAUCAUAGUGCCACUUCCUUCCAUCCGAGUACGAGCCAACUUGGCUCUGAUACCACUUGUAGGAAUGUCAUACUACAAGAUAGAGAAUGCACAAGGUAAAGUAGAAAAUGGACACCAAAAUUUAUGUGGUCGGCAAUUUAGCCUACGUCCAUAAGACAAGGAUCAAUCUACUAUAUGAAAAAGUGAGUACAACAAGAUAUCACCAAGCCAAAGACAAGGCUUGAUGGACAAGAAAGUAUGACACACACUUUCUAUUACUCUAAACUUCACUCACAAUGUGUAGUGGAACACUCUCACUCUCACUCUUGGAGUGGAACUCUAGCUUUGGACUUGAUCCUUUGCUACUCACACUUGGUUCUUAAUUGGUUACAUCACACCCAUAUUUAUAGGUGAGAGCUUGACAUUCUACUAGUUUCUAUUUCCUUCUUCAAACCUCUAGUAUAGAAAAUUCUAGACUAGCCACAUAAUUGUAGCUUCUAGAUCUUUCCAUUUGCAACCAAGGAAGCUAGUACUCUCUAACUUCUUCCAUCAACUUAAUAACAUGCAAGAAUUGUCUAACAUGCUCCCGCCUCCUCUCUUGCUUACUAGAAUAAUCUAGAACAUUGAUCAUAGGCUGGACCAUAUACCAACAAGGAGUUCUCUCAAUAGGUUCUGAUGGAAACCUAGUGCUGCAAGCCAAUACUAGCCAAGGCCUUAUUCCUCUGUGGUCAACAAAUGUUUGAUAUCAUCAGAGGCAACGUAAUAUUUUUGCGCAUUCUUGAUUCAGGAACCUUGGCGCCAGCUUGGCAGAGCACUGAUCACCGCGAAAUUCUUCUUCCGAAUAUGAAAGCCGUGGACAGAAGAAGUGGCAUAAACCGGUUCCUCACGUGUGGAACUGGACAAUGAUCCUGGACGGGGAAUGUUUCGUUGAGAAUGGACCGAAUGGAUCGCCUCAGUUGAUCUUGUACAAGGAUGACGCUAAGUAGUCAGGCAGUGGAACGGGAUUCAAUGGCGGCAUACCUGCCAUGCAUCGGAGCGUUGUGUUUAAGAUCAAUUUCUGAACAACAAAGAAAUUUCUGUGCAGUGGACUGUUCCGACUUUUAUUUACUCGGUGAUCACAAUGACGGGUCGGGACUCAACCAGCAUCAUGGCAGGACCAGCACACCAGUGGGUUUCGCUUUGGUCCGCACCUUGGAUGCCUGUGACAGCUAUGCAAGUGUGGUCAAUUUGGCAAUUGCAAUCCUUACACCAACAGUGGUUCAACUGCACAUGCUACCCGGAUAUGAACCAACCUCACCGCAGGAUUGGGAUUUAAGAGAUGGGACAGAUGGGUGCAAGAGGCCGCAGGGUUCGCCGUCCAUGUGCAGGAACGGCAAGGAUUUUGUGAAGAUGGAAAAUGUAAAGGUUCCAGACACGUCCUCUAUAAAAUUGGAGAAUAA